UGGCGGACGGGUGAGUAACACGUGAGCAACCUACCUUCGAGAGGGGAAUAACGGCUGGAAACGGUCGCUAAUACCGCAUAACAUACCGGGAGGACAUCCUGCUGGUAUCAAAGAUUUUAUCGCUCGAAGAUGGGCUCGCGUCCGAUUAGGUAGUUGGUGAGGUAACGGCUCACCAAGCCGACGAUCGGUAGCCGGACUGAGAGGUUGAACGGCCACAUUGGGACUGAGACACGGCCCAGACUCCUACGGGAGGCAGCAG
Molecule: ribosomal RNA, 259 nt
Filed under: uncultured bacterium
Lineage: Bacteria
Description: partial 16S ribosomal RNA
Rfam family: Bacterial small subunit ribosomal RNA
Source: RNAcentral